UACGUAGGGUGCAAGCGUUGUCCGGAAUUAUUGGGCGUAAAGAGCUCGUAGGCGGUUUGUCGCGUCUGCUGUGAAAACUCGGGGCUUAACCCCGGGCCUGCAGUGGGUACGGGCAGACUAGAGUGCGGUAGGGGAGACUGGAAUUCCUGGUGUAGCGGUGAAAUGCGUAGAUAUCAGGAGGAACACCUGCGGUGUAGACGGCUUACUGGACGGUAACUGACGCUGAGGCACGAAAGCGUGGGUAGCAAACAGG
This 253-nucleotide ribosomal RNA is filed under the name uncultured bacterium. Its description in RNAcentral is "partial 16S ribosomal RNA". It matches the Rfam family "Bacterial small subunit ribosomal RNA", at positions 524 to 776 of the family's 1533-position model. The record is from RNAcentral.